GAGGAUUUAGUUUAAAUAAAACAUGAAUUGGUCAAGUUCAAAUUACACUCAAAAGUAAUUCUCU
RNAcentral lists this transfer RNA (64 nucleotides) under Orosius orientalis. RNAcentral describes it as "tRNA-Asp". The record is from RNAcentral. Lineage: Eukaryota; Metazoa; Arthropoda; Insecta; Hemiptera; Cicadellidae.